Molecule: ribosomal RNA, 406 nt
Filed under: uncultured bacterium
Lineage: Bacteria
Description: partial 16S ribosomal RNA
Rfam family: Bacterial small subunit ribosomal RNA
Source: RNAcentral
AUUGAACGCUGGCGGCAGGCCUAACACAUGCAAGUCGAGCGAGCGGCGGACGGGUGAGUAAUGUCUGGGAAACUGCCCGAUAGAGGGGGAUAACUACUGGAAACGGUGGCUAAUACCGCAUACUAUCGGAUGAACCCAGAUGGGAUUAGCUAGUAGGUGGGGUAAAGGCUCACCUAGGCGACGAUCCCUAGCUGGUCUGAGAGGAUGAACAGCCACACUGGGACUGAGAACCUGCCCAGACUCCUACGGGAGGCAGCAGUGGGGAAUAUUGCACAAUGGGCGCAAGCCUGAUGCAGCCAUGCCGCGUGUAUGAAGAAGGCCUUAGGGUUGUAAAGUACUUUCAGCGGGGAGGCGUUACCCGCAGAAGAAGCACCGGCUAACUCCGUGCCAGCAGCCGCGGUAAUAC